This 29-nucleotide non-coding RNA is filed under the name Cricetulus griseus (Chinese hamster). The record is from RNAcentral. Lineage: Eukaryota; Metazoa; Chordata; Mammalia; Rodentia; Cricetidae.
UGAACUCCUGUUCUACACUUCCCCCCUUC